CUUGCCAAUUGAGUUUGAGGGGUUACGUUUAAGUAUAUGGAAUGAGAUGAACAAGUGUUUUAGGUCUCAACCUCCCCUGAGGUGUCGUGCCCAUCGAGCGUGGAUAAGGUCGGCUGAUAAGGUUGGAAAGAUAUGAUUUUUAUGACGAGGGGGGAGGUGAGAGGAAGUGGUGAUUAGGAAUCACUGUAUGUUUAUUGGCAAGGACGGUUGGGUUACUGUAUAACACUAUGUGUGGAGUUAUAUAUGUAUAUAUGUUAAUUUAUGCUUAUUUAUGUCUAACGUUUUUGGUUACAGAAAGAAGAGAUUUAAUAAACAAAGUUAUGGAUGUGUUAUGCAGUAAUUUAGUUUGUGAUAAAUGCUGUGGCCUGUUUCAUCCAUACUAAGUGGUCUGUCGUUAUUGGGGGGGUUGAAUGGGGUUAGUUUAUGUACUAGGCUGCAUCACGAUUCCCCACUACGUACAUACAUGAAUAAAUAGCUAAAUAUCAGUAUAACUAUCACAUUUACGAUUGUGCUCCUUACUCAAUUUGUAUCAAGUAUACACACUGACAGAAACACACAUACUGACACAAACACAGUGAUAAACACUGAC
Molecule: non-coding RNA, 589 nt
Organism: Pelobates cultripes (western spadefoot toad)
Lineage: Eukaryota; Metazoa; Chordata; Amphibia; Anura; Pelobatidae
Source: the annotation of a GenBank genome assembly